RNAcentral lists this long non-coding RNA (137 nucleotides) under Coturnix japonica (Japanese quail). RNAcentral's name for it is "lncRNA (ENSCJPG00005009887.1)". Lineage: Eukaryota; Metazoa; Chordata; Aves; Galliformes; Phasianidae. The record is from RNAcentral.
GAGAGAACAAUUACAGAAGUACUUGUUGCAUGAUUAGUUUUACAGGCUCUGCUACAGGAAAGGGAGCAAUUAUACAGCUCUCUUCAUUCCUGAGGCUUCCUGAGGCUUCCUGAGUUCCUCUCAUGAUUGUGAAGGUG